RNAcentral lists this non-coding RNA (30 nucleotides) under Rattus norvegicus (Norway rat). Lineage: Eukaryota; Metazoa; Chordata; Mammalia; Rodentia; Muridae. The record is from RNAcentral.
UGGGUGCUCAAUAUUUGUUAAAUGUAUGAG